CACUUGAUGGGUUGACAUAGCAAACACAGCAAAUCUGAACUUCAGACCACACUGUGUUGAAUUCUAGUUGAAAAUUUCCCAUGCUUUUAGAGCAGUCACUUGGGUAGGAAAUCAGUCAGCAUUUGUAAGGAAUUAAAAAUGUGUCUUCGUAUGCGUAUACUUUAAAAUGCUAUCAAGUGUGAUUUAUGGAAUCUCAAAAAUUCAGGAAACAACUGGAAGAAAAAUUAGAAAGAGCUGAGAAAUCCCUUAAACACCUAUUUGCCCAGAUGGAGAAUAGCUUUGUACUUUUGAAUUUCAGCUCUAGUAGAUUAUAGUUAUCACACCACACUACACUUUGUGUACUUUCAAUCAGAUUUUCUAAUGAUUGUCUUGGAAAAGAGGUAUAGAUGGAAAACAAAGGAAGCUAAACAUGAAACUCACAUUUUGUUUGUGGUGACAUCUACCUUCACCUGCAGAGCUUCCGGAGAGGCAGAUCACCUGGUUGAUCAAGUAGAUCAUCUCUGAAAAGUUGCUAGGUUUUCAAGCAAGGCUUGACACAUGCAGCCAUUUGAAUACUAGUGUCAAGAGGAAGAAACAAAGCAGCUCCUAGGGCAAUAUGGAUCUCUAGCUGAUCAGCUGAAAUCUCCUUCUUCAGUGAUGCUCCUAGUUGUCAUUUUCUUCAAACUCAAGUAAGGAAAGAGUUCUAUAAGAACCAGAAGAAACCUCUUCUGAUGUCUUUUUAUUUAUUGAUUGACUUUAAUAUACCACACAAUGUACACCAAGGAUUAUGAAGUUUUGUUGACACAUACAUCACUCUGAUGUAAUACUACCUUUUUUGGAAAUUUUCUUUCCAGAUAUUUCAACAGAGAAUGUUUUCACACUACAAGAGAUCAGAAUGCUAAAAUAAAAAGUAUUCAACUAAAUCUGGAAAAUCUCAGCUGAUUAACCAAUGUGCAUGUCUGUCUGUCUGUCUGCAUGUUUACAUAUAUAUGAACAAAAAGAAUGCGAAAUGGAAACCAGAGAGAUUAGCAUGAUAUGAGCCGUGUUGCUAGUUCUUCAGCUGGCUUCAGAACCUAUCUUCUUUAAUUUUCAAUUUUUGUAGUACUUUGGUAAUUCUCUGUGGUGUCCUUCUUGCUCAAUUAAUAUUUUACAAGCUUUCUUAUGUUCACAUAAAUCUGUACCUGAAUUCUAUUUGAAUUUAUCACCCCAUUUGCCCAGUGAGCAAUUUGUUCUGUGCUUUUAUGUGCUGAAUUCUUGAAUACAUCAAUAGAAUACAAAAAAAUACCCAGAAAAAGAGAAAAAGGUGUUGUUUUUUGUUUUGUUUUGUUUUUGAGGAACUGCCCAUACAGGUGAGCAGUCUGUGAAU
Molecule: long non-coding RNA, 1345 nt
Organism: Tympanuchus pallidicinctus (lesser prairie-chicken)
Lineage: Eukaryota; Metazoa; Chordata; Aves; Galliformes; Phasianidae
Exons: 3
Source: RefSeq, a predicted model, not a curated record